GGGGGCGAACAGGGUUCGACGGAAGGAAGGAGAUCAAGGUUGCAUGCACGGGUAGCCGUUGGCCCGUGAAAAAACGGCAUAAAACAUAAUCGCCAACGAUUAUGAAGUAGCCGUAGCGGCUUAACUAAGUCCGCUACCGUCCGCUUUCCUCUCGUCCGUGGAGGGAAGGCCGGGCGUCAGACUCACGGACUGGUUUGAUUCGAAGGUCUCGGACGAAUCAAACGAGAAUUCUCGAGACUGGCCUGAAUCAGAUCCUGCCUUUGGGAGAGGAUUCGGGCGAGAUUCAAAACAAAGGCUAAGCAUGUAGACGCCUUGGGUGGAAACCUUUCGGACGGGGGUUCGAUUCCCCCCGCCUCCACCA
Molecule: transfer-messenger RNA, 361 nt
Filed under: Nitrospinaceae bacterium
Lineage: Bacteria; Pseudomonadati; Nitrospinota; Nitrospinia; Nitrospinales; Nitrospinaceae
Rfam family: transfer-messenger RNA
About the family: Bacterial tmRNA, also known as 10Sa RNA or SsrA, is named for its dual tRNA and mRNA-like properties.
Source: RNAcentral